CACGGGAGAGUAACACGUGGGAACGCCCAUUAAAAAAACGGAAUAACCCAGGGAAACUUGGGCUAAUACCGGACCUUCCCGUAAGGAGAAAGAUUUAUUGCCGAGGGAUCGGCCCGCGUCCGAUUAUCUUGUUGGUGGGGUAAUGGCCUACCAAGGCGACCAUCGGUAGCUGGUCUGAGAGGAUGAUCAGCCUCACUGGGACCGAGACACGGCCCAGACUCCUACGGGAGGCAGCAGUGGGGAAUAUUGGACAAUGGGCGCAAGCCUGAUCCACCCAUGCCGCGUGGGUGAUGAAGGCCUUAUGGUUGUAAAGCCCUUUCGGCGGGGAAGAUAAUGACGGUACCCGCAGAAGAACCCCCGGCUAACUUCGUGCCAGCAGCCGCUGUAUUACAAAGGGGGCUAGCUUCGCUCGGAAUCACGGGGCGUAAAGCGCACGUAGGCGGUUCCUUAAGUCAGGGGUGAAAUCCUGGAUCUCAACUCCACAAUUGCCUUUGA
Molecule: ribosomal RNA, 495 nt
Filed under: uncultured bacterium
Lineage: Bacteria
Description: bacterial SSU rRNA
Rfam family: Bacterial small subunit ribosomal RNA
Source: RNAcentral